GUAAGUAGCAAUAAAAUAGUGGAAACAAAGCAGUUUCUCUAGGGAAUUUUGUAAAGCACCCCUGUCUCUCCUUCUCCCCCCUUAAAAAUGUUCCCGUUUUAGUAUCUGAAUUCUGUUUGCUAAAACAAGGCUUGCUUAAUGAAGACAAUGGCUUAUUAUUUCUUUAAGUGGCACAGCAGGGCCCAAGUAUUACAAGCCCAGCUCUUUCAGCCCCUGCCAAGGACACAGGAACAAAGGGGCAGGCAGGAACGCGAGGCACAUAGAGCUCUUCUUACACCGCAGUUUGUGAGCACUUUCCUCCCAACAAGACCCAGGUCUCGGCUGUUCUGGAACUCAAAGACAGGGUCUUUUUCUCCUCAUUCCUGUAAAUGACUCACACACUGCAGAAAGCCGCUCGGCGACAGGCACAGCCCCGGCGGCGGCGCGGCGAGAGGAGGGGCGGCCUGCUCGGCACAGCCGCAUUCGCAGUGAGCCCCCUGACGGUGGGAGCCCGGCUGCUCCUCGGCAGCGCCGGCCCAGAGCUCCUCCGGGAGACAGCCCUGCAAACGCCGCUGGGGGCCCGCCAAAGGGACUCUCUGCCAAAGCACGGAAUUAGGUGAGGAAACAGGAAUUUUGACGACCGCAGCUCUGGCACGAGGAUCUAGUCAAUUUUAACAUGUUUAGCAAUAUUUCGACUAUCACAAUGCUGGAAUGCCAGUCAUGGAUUCAGAUUAAUUGCUACAAAAAAGAAAUAAAAGAGCAAUGGUUAAAUUCUGGAACAGAAUUUUUACAGUAAGAAGCUGUCUCAAAAUCUUUAGGCCAGUCAAGUUCUCCAGGAGACACAGUCAACUUUACCUCUUUUUUUGCUUUUCCUACCAAAGCUGAUCACAAAGGUACUUCCUAGAAGCUGGUAUUGGGUUUGAUACGAUUCAACAUCUUUAUAAAGGAUGUGGAUGGCAGAACUGAAUGCUUGUUUACCAAGUUUGUGGAUCACACCAAACAGGGAGGAGAGGCACUAUACACCAAAAGGAAUAGCCACUGUGCAGAGAGUCCUUCACAAACUAAGACGGGGCCAAACAAGGACUGCAUAAGUGUAAUGCCUUGCACAUGAGAUAGAAUAAUCCCAAGCAGCAGUACAAGCUGGGUGGGAUCUGAAGAGCUGGGGUGUAGCUUUGCUGAGAAGGACCUGGGAAUUCUCAUGGACAGCCCUAAACUUGAGUGAGAAGUGCCUUUGUAGCAAUGAAGGCAGGAUGAGCCCUGGGUUGCAUCGGCGAGGACAGAGUCAGCAGAUCAAAGAAUUCCACUCAACAUUUGCUAGGACACACCUGGAAUACUGUGUCCAGUUCUGGUCCUCCCACUUCAUGACAAAAACUGAAAAACUGAGAGAGAGUCUAGCAGAUGAUCAUGAAGAUCAUCAGAGGUCUGGAGAUCCUGACAGAAGGUUCAAGAAACUUGAUUUGUUCAGCCCAGAGAAGAGAAGGCUCAAGGGAGGAUCUAAUCACAGUUUCCCAAUCCCCAACAGAGAGUUAUAGAGAAGAUGAAGGUAUUUUCUUCAGAAGGAUGCACAGGGCGAGAGGCAACAGGUGCAAAUUUCUUCAAGGGAAGUUGUGCCUGGGUACAAGAAUACAGUUCUUCAGCAUGAGAAACAUUAAACACUGGAAUAGGCUGACUAGAGAAGAGGUGGAAUCUCCCUGAAAAUAUUCAAGAUUUGGCUUGGCAGAGACCUGAAAAAAACAAAUCCAAGACCCAUCUUUCAAUAGAAGGCUGGACGAGGUGAUCUUCUGAGGUCCCUCUCAGCUGAGGCUUCUCUGUGAUUUUAUGCGACUAAGUAAAAUAUACAAAAAGAAAGCAUACAAUGCUUUUCCUUGUGAUAAGAAGUUUUGUCUUACAUUUUUUAUUGUUAUAAUUACUGACUCAAAAGGUCAUCCUGAAAGUAUUCCACUCAUUGGAAAAACUGUAAAAAUACUAUCUUCUUCAACCUCACUACAAUAUUUCAUUGCAACGUAGCUAGAAAGUUUAAGAUUGAAGUUCCAGUUAAUUAAAGGCUAAUAUUCAUGAUGGCAAAGUAUAUGAAGCAAUAAACUGCUUCUGAGGUUCGUUAAAUGCCAAAGAGAAGUUGAAGAGUUUGAUAAUUGCAAAACUAAUUUAUUGUAAUUCUAUGCUGUUGAACUAUGUGACAAGAUAAAAGAUACAAGCCAUUAAGCAAAAACAAAAACAAAAACAAAAACAAACGACCAACAACCAAACUAACAAACCAACCAAAACAACAAACAAAACAAAAGGAGAAAGACUAUAUUUCUUUCAUUGACUUGUGGCCUUGUGGCCAUUUAAAACCAUUGUAUCAGGUUGCAUUUGUAGACUUUUUAGUGAUGGCACAUUAGGAAAAUGACUAAGAAAAAUUAUUUGAAGCUGGACUUAAACAGUGAUUAAUUGUCUGAAGACUGAUUUUUCCACAUCACCUGAGUGUCAGAGUGUAUGCAUACUCAGGGACCUAAACACGUAUCUGCAUACGACAAUUGGUGAUUUUUGUGAAAACUGACACUAGUUUCAUGAGCAGUUUAAACCAGAAAAAAAUUGCCACUGACAGGGAGAUAAGUGGUCUUUCCCACCUCAUGUGGCUGGAUGCUACCACAAGGUACUGCCCUCCAUUAAUGACAGAAGCUUUCAUGUAGGUAUUCAUAGGAGCAGAUCAGGAAAAAAGGGAUUCGAUUUUGUGUGUGUGUGUUGUUGGUUGUUUUUUUUUUUUGUUAGGUCAAUUUGUGAAUUAUUAGAUCCUUAAAAUGGUUUAAUGCAAAGAUGACUGAACACUUAAGCUGGCACAAGAGAGGGAACAGCAUGGAGUGGGACAGGAAGAAAUAGGAGGCUACUUCUUCAAUGAGUGCUGACAUAAUAAAAUUUAAUGGUUAGAGACAUGUCUUUAUUUGAAUAAUCCAGGUUAAUGCAUUUAGAUAACAACUGGGAAGAAUAAUAUUUUUGUCUGGUUUUUACAGGAAAACUGGAAUUUAACCAGAUCUUUUGUGGAUUUUAACCCACAAAAAUAUUUCAUUAAACUUAUUUUUGAAGCUAUAGGCAUCAAAAGUUACAUGACCGCUCAACUGUCUUACCUAAAAAAUGCAGUCUUCCUUGAAAAUAUAACACCAUAAUAUCAUCUUGAAGAGUGAUGUUUUCAGAAAUAAUGAGUUUUAUUUCUUUGUAUUCAAACUGAAAAACAGAUUUGUAUAAAAUUGCACUGCAUCCACAGAAUAGAGUCUACUAGUCCAUGCUACUGUCUCAGGAGAGAUGUGAAGGUGAUAACAUCAAGGAAAUGUUUGUGCAACCACUAACAGGGUCUUUAUCUCAUCCUCCUCUUGUAUAUACGUUAAACUAAAACUUUGCUUGGCUAAUGCAUCAUAGUCCUACUGGCAACCCACUGAUUUCCCCACAGGAAACAUCACCAUUUAUUGACAUACAAAGCUUUACUAUAACCACCAACUGCAAUGUCCUCAUCCUUUUACUCUGAUAGAACUCUUGGCUGAUCAGGCAUUGGCACAACGUCACUGAUUUACAACUCAUGUCCAGACAGCAAGCCUCGGUGCAAAAGCCAUGAUCCCCAGCUUGUGGUUCUGGAGUCAGUAUGCACAUAGGUACCUUAUGCAUUUCUAUAGUUGUAACACGGGCAAGCCCAUCAUCAAGAAAACCAAUCACGUUUGAGAAAACUUCAAGAUUUUGGCAGUUACCUACUAACACAACAAAACAAUAGCAUGAUAAUAGUAUUUGGUGAAUAGAUUUUUAAUAAACAUUAGUAAUAGUAGUGGUAAAGACUUAGAAACAUAAAUCUGAGCGAGUGUUAACACUUAGAACCUGCAUCGGGCAUCCCCAAGAGUGUCUACUCUGAUUUGCAAUAAGUAACAAAGCUUAUGUUGCUCUUUCUUCAUUUACUGAUCCUAAUUUGAUUAAACUAACAUAGGUGCUUAAGGCAUUCUAUAAUCAUGUUUUGAUUUUGCUACACAGACAUACCAAAAAUUGAACAAGAAACUGAUAGGAGAGGCACAGUAAGAUGUCCCAAUAGGCACUCUUGAGUUCUACAUUAAUUCUUUUUAUUUAAUAUCAAUAUCACAAGCAUUCAAUAUCAAAAGAACAUCAACAUGUAUCAGACAAAAGCUUUUUAUAUCCAAAAAGAAACAGGGAGAUCUUUCUUCACAUGUGUCACUCUUGAUAUGAUUUAAAUGGUGCCACAUCUAAUGCUUAAGUGCUGCUUCUGGGGCUACUGCAUGAGUCUGGACAACAGAUCAAAGCCCAUCUCAUAGCUUCAAAAGUAAAAAUGAGAGAAAUCAAUUUUAAGAUUCCAAAAUGAAACUACUGAUAGAAGGUCAGUGAACAUUACAAAUGCUUCUAAAGCACCAGAACUUGAAAGAAAAAUCAGACGUGAUUUUGUACAAAGAUACCGUAUCUCAUUAUUGCCUUUAGACAAUACUGAAAGUCAUAAGCCGCAUACAGAAUUACUCUAUUUCUUCACCUUAGAAAUGUUAGUUUUGAUUGGGGAAAAGAUAAGCUGUUUCGAUACAGCAGAUGUGCGUAUGUUUUAAACUGCUCUACAGCACUUUGUUCUCAGAAGGUCCUCCAUCUCUUAUUCUCUGCUAGAAAGAGGCUUUCCCAUGGAUCAAUUCCACUAAAUCUGAUAACCACCUAUAUUUUUGCUGAAACUUUUGCAUUCAUGUUUCAACUGGGAUCACAGAUGUGCUUCUGAAGAGGCAUCCAGUAACAGCUCACAUCAUUAAGCAGUUUCUAAGUGAAUGAACUAGAGUCCUUUCAGACAACAGUCAGUCUGAAGGACAAAGAUCCCUGAGGCAUGUAAAACAUCAUAUCCACAGCAUCAGCUCUUUUCCUUUGGUGAUCCUCUCCUAUUGGCCUGCACUAUUCCCUGAUGAAGAAGUAACCACAAUAUUCUUUGUGGCUGCAUAUGUAUUUUUGGAUGCCAAAUCUACAUACAGCAAGUUAUAAGAAUGUUGCUGGCUAGGAAACAAAAUUAAACAUGUGGCUUUAUUUUUUUAAUAAUAGAUACAUUUUUUUUCUGAUUUCUGAAACCUUUCUUUUUUUUUUUUUUAUGCUCUUAUACAUUAUCAUCGCAUAUCUAUGUGUAUUUCAAAGAACAGCAGGUAAAACUGUGAAGUAUUACGAAAGCUAUUCUCAGCUUAUUCUGCACUUGCAUUGCACAUGUGUAUGAAGGUCCAUGCUGGAUACACCUAACAUCCUAACUUCUUAUUGUGACUCUGACAGAGGAUAUCUAGGGAAGAGAACAAAAACAAGCCCAUAAUAUAGCCAUCCUACUUCUUGUUAUUCUAAAUUGCCAAAGUCCUGCCCUCCCUUCCAGGUGGAUCUAUACUGUCUCUGCUCUUGCACUAGUUUUGGUGUCUGCCUGAUCCUGCUCUGAGCCUUUGCAAUGUUCUGAUCUGCCAGGAAACUACUCGCAUUAUUUUGUUAAAAUAUUUUUUUGCUGGAGAACGUACUGAGAUCGUUCAACAGAGCUGGAAUGCUACCUCACUUGACGAAAGUGAAGGUAAGGGAAUUACAUGUCUAUGGUAACUAGAAGUAAAUUAACUGAAGCUGCCAUAGAACCAAAUCUGAUAGGAGGUUAUUUUUUUUAUUUGGCAGUUAUUUCACACCUAGGAGAUUGUAAAUAAGCCUCAUUAUGUGUUUUGGAUGUAUCACAUUGACCCAGGCAAAUAUCCUCCAUGGAGACAGAAGUUAAAUCAUAACAAAUUCUGUGGACUGUAUUAACAUUUCUAUUCUUUCCUCUACCUUCCUACUGCUUCAGAACUAUCAUCUCAAGAAUAUGCAGCACAUGCACAUUGAAGAGGACAUGAAAGUGUAAAUCAGUGGCGAACAAGAAUUCAAACGUCAGGGGACCAAAAGUAAAAGUGGAAGGCACUGUAAUAUAAUGCUUUUAUCUGGUAGAUCAUUUAAAUUUAAAACUAUUUAUCUAAAUCACAUAAGUUACACAAUUCCAUUGCUAGAAUAGUGUAGGCAUUAACUAAUUGCAUUAACUAAUGCUGACUAUUCUCUCUGAUAAGGUAAAAAUAACAUCUGCCUACUGUUAACUAGUCAUUAGGACAUGCAUAUAUCCAAAUUAAGUAACAAUAUCUUGCAAUAACUAAUAAAAAGCAUAAUGAAGUUAAAAUAUUAAUGAAAUAAGAUUUACAGACACAGUCUUCACAAUCUAUGGCAUUAAUUGUGGCUUACAUUCAUUUGUGAACUAGAGAGAGAGUUCAUAUGUACUUCCACUGAAAUCACAGAAAUAGUAUUCUAGCAUACAAAAGAGGAAUGACAUGGUGGGAAAAAAUUUUGUUACAGUUCUGACGUAAAUUAUAUCUUUCUGUUUUUCAGGUAGAGUUCAUAUUGGCUUCCAUAAUCAGGAGACCCAAGCUUCUACUAUAGCUUAAGAAAAAACAGAAUACACCUCUCUAUAAAUACUACAAGUUAAGUAAAUGUUUAGAAAUAUUUUAGAAAAGGUGAUUUCUUUCCAAACCAUGCAAAAAUAAAAAAUUAAAAAAGCAACUGAAGCAGAUAUUUGUGAUCAAACAACAAUAUAUAUGCAUGCAUUAUGUAAUGGAAGAAAAAUAUUUCCUUUUAAAAUGAAUUGUUAUGUCCUAGAUUGCUAGUAAGAAAAAUAUGAAUGUCUGAAGGCUCCUUGGUAGUUUGUAUCCAAUUAUUUAGCAUCUGGCAUUCUCUUCCCUCAGAAUCUUACAACUUUGAAUGUUUUAACCUCAGUGUUCAUUGAAGAAAGCCAAAUCAACAACACAAACUUAAUUUCUUACCAAACUAACAACCUUUUCUUUUUGCACCACCCUUGAAAGUUUUAACAUCCUAUUUGCUUUCGAGUCCAACAGCCAGUGUGUGACAUUUCUCUCCCCUUUUAUUUUUUUCUUUUUCUAGCUGGCAUGUCUAGGCCAUCUCCCAUCGAUUCCAUGUAAAGAACAUAAUCUGAAAUAUCUUUUGCUAUUCUUCUAUCCCACUUCUAGUAUUGUGUACUAAGUAAGAUUGGUUUUGCACUCUCAAUUUCUCUUCUCUGGGAAAGAUAUAAUAUCCACAUACACCGAUCUUUUUUCAACAGAACUCAGACUAUUUUAAAGAAAGACAGAUAUUGCUGUUUUACGGGUGAGAUCCAAGGAGAUACAAAAUAUUACCAGUUCUGCCACCAGUCUUUUACAUUAGCAAGUCAGUGACUCUUCAGUCCUUCAUAGUGCUGCAGCCAGCAAUUCCCAGACUAAGGCCAGUCAUAGUCAUGCCACUAUCAAUGGCACUAAAAAUAACUACAGCAAUACACACAUUGACAUUAGAAAUUCUUAGAAAUUCUGAUCAAGUACAAGGAAAAAAGUUUUCGCUAUUAUGAUGGUUAAACAUCAAAACAGGUUGCCCGGAGAACUUGUGGACUCUCCAUCCCCUGGAGAUACUUAAAACUUGACUGGGGACAGGGCCAUGAGCAACCUACUAGACCUUUUAAGUUAGAUUUAAAUUUGAGGCUGGCCCUGCUUUGAGCAGUGAGAUGUACAAACGGAUCUCCAGAAGUCCCUUACAAAUUAAAUUAUGCUAUGAUUUUGCUAUAUUUCUUGUUUAGAAGUCCAUGCCUCCCCUAAAUAAAUAAGCCAAACUCAUCCUGUAAAGUUUUUAUUCUCUCUCAAUUUGUUUUAAUUCUUCUAAUGCUCUUAAAAGUCAUUGCACUCAUGCUUGUCUCUGGCAAUGCCCACUGGUAUUAUUUUGUUGGAUCGGUGCUGUGACCCAACCUUUUCAAGCAAGGCUUUUGAGAAAUUGGCUUUUGCUAGUACCACUAAGCUCAUCUUUUCUUGGUCCUAAUUUCCCUCCGUUCACUGCCUCUUUUGUCCAAACCAGACUUCUUCACAAUGUAUCAUGAAAUGAGGACAAGACAUGAACUGAAACACGACAGUUUCUACCAGGUUUUCUUGAGAGGUUGUCCAGAUUCCAUCCUUGGAGAUUUUCAAGACCUGACUAGGUAUAGCCGCUGGCAACCUGGUCUGAUCUCACAGCUGAUUCUGUUUUAAGCAGGAAGUUGAACCAGGGACCUCUUGAGAUUCCUUCCAGCUUCAAGGAUUCAAUAAUUCUAUAUUCCAUACUGCACCAUGUAUGUUAAAUUUUCACUACUCCAGCAUCACUACAAUCAUAUUCCUCCUAGAUUUUACAGAUUGAGUCUUUCAGCAACUAUCCGUACAGAGUAAGGGAAAAGUGUAUGCUAAAAAUAUCUCAACUAGAAACUAGCCAAACAGCAUAUUUGUCUGAACUGUGAUAUCUAAUCAUGUCAGAAUAACCCCUUUGGACUAAUGCUCCCUUUUCUUCUGUCAACACAGGAUAUCAAACACAAGGGUAUUGGGCCAAAUUACUAGCACUAAUAGCAAUUUAUAUGAAUAAACACACCAUGAAGCAGAUGAGGUUAGGUGAUGAAUGUAAAACUUAUUUUCCUGUAAUGGAUUUUCUUUGUUGUGGUGAUUUGCUGAUAUGUAUGUUGUAGGUGUCUGUAAGACUGAGCAGUGAAAUCCAGAUAAUAUUUUGUCUCUGAAGUUUGUCUGCACUGAGUUCUAGCUUUUUUUUAAAAUGGAUGUCCAUCAGUGAUGCAGCAUGUGCUUUUUCCAAUUCUUCUCAACCCUCAAAUUUUGAGAUUCUAUCAGAUUUGAGAGAAAAGGGGCUGUGAAUAACACCUAUAGAGCCAUACUUCAAAGAACAGCAGUUACAAAUAACAGCAGUCUUUUGUCUGCUUUCUUAUAUGUCAGGUUUCAAUUUGUACUCCACAUGAGUCACUAUUUUGCUGCAGGACAGUUCCAGAAUUCCUUGCUGUUUAUGGCGAUGAGAGCACGUCUUUCAAAUCCAAAUUCAUGCCUGGAGGCUUUGGCAGUGCUUGGUAACAUAUGAAUAAAUUUUCAGGGUAAAACUCUGCUAAUCUCAGCAAUAGAGACAUUUUGCAACCAUGCCAUCAGAGUGACUUUAGUUCUGGUGAAACUUGCAAUGAAUGCAGGUGACUGUAAUUUUGCAGGUUCUUACACACUUCACUGUCUGAAGAGGCAGUUAGCGCAAUAAUAAAGGUAAUAAUGGAAUUCCUCUGAAGAGAAGAGUGAUAAGUCCAUAUCUCUACAGUAUUUCAGUGUACUGUAACCUUUAAAACACUACAGUGGACUGCUGGCGACCUUGCUGCCUGGUACAGACAGCUGGCCUGGCUUCACAUCCAGCAGCUUGGUGCCCAUAGCUGUGGCGUCUCUCUUCUCAGAAAAAUACUAUCUAUUUUCCCUUAGACCUAAAGAAGAUGUAAACCCAGUGAAGAGUAAAAAAUACAUUCUAAACCACAGCGGAGUGGCAACUGGAAACUAGUAGUAAAAUGUUAGGCUUCAUCGUUUCAUCCAUUUUUUUCUUCUUAACUCACUCAGCUUACUACAAGGUAAGCACAAGUAUGAAUUCUUUGCUUAACUGAGGAUCAACAAAAAAAAUUAUUGUUGCCAAAGAUGAACAACUCAGUCAUAUAAAAUCUUUCCAUCUCUUCAUUCCUGAUAAUUUUCAAAAUCUAAUGACUCAUUUUGAUACAGAUUUCAAAAUAUCAAAACCAAGAAAUUGAAGAUUAUGCAUUAAAUAAUGGUUGUAAAGAUACUUAUGUAGUAAACUACUUUGUUUCUAACCUAUUACAAUGAUUUAAAUUUUAGUGACCUUUGACAUAUCCAAGCAACACAUAUAAAGACUUAAGGUGUACAAAUAAUCUAGCAAUAAGGUUUGCAGAUAGGGCGAAUAUAUUUUAUUAGAUGAAUUGGUGUAACUGCCAAAAUCAAGACACAAGUCCUCCUUCAGGUCUGUAAUAGAAGCUGCAAUUUCAAAGUUAAACAGAAAUUGAGAACAAUUGCUAAUAAUUUAGUUUAUAUAUAUCAGUUAGACCAUCUCGGAAAGAAAAGAUAGUUGGGUAAUUGUGAAGUAAAGAUGUGGAAGAUGAGUGAGCAGUAACUAUUUAGUUAUCAGACCUAGUAACAUUUUAAGAAGGAAUUAAUUUUCAGUAAUACAAAAUUUGACAGCUCAGCUGUCAACUGAGCGCUGCUAAUAAUAACGCUGAUGGAAGGCAGAAUAAAGUUAUGUUCUGCAGCUAAUCAUAGCACAGAAGGAAGUCAUAUGACUAAACUAAAAAGGAUAUAUUUAUAAUGCCUUUACUAGUUUAUUUCAAGGUCUUGCAAAUAUUAGUGCCUUGGAACUGUAUAAGCAGUGCAGUAGGACUAGUAAUCAAACAGCAUCUAUCAAUCUAGGAAAUUUGCUGAAAGGUGGAGUGUUUGUUAUUGAAGAGUUUAAAUAUUUUGUAGCUCAAACAGGUAGUAAAGCUCCAAAUGCAUCACCAGCCUUGGUAAAAUGAAUUAUUUUUAAGACUGACAAGAUCAGAAAAAAAAUCCAUACAAGCUACACAAAAUGUUAUUAAACUAGUAUCAAUUAUUUGUAUCAAUUAUUUCUUCUGAUAUCAGGCAAAAGCUAAGGGCAGAUCACACAUUAUUUUUCUUCUGAAUAUGCAGUAUUUUAAUGGUAAAAAUAGAUGUCUGUGUUUAUCAUUUGAGUAGAGCUGAAACAGAUUUCAAAAAUAGGGAUUUUGCUUUUUUAAAAAAUGAUACUAAUUCAGGACAAACUAAAAUGGGUACCACUAAAUGAAAGUUUUCCCUACCAGCUGAGGCAUUUUUUUCAGGAGGAUGGAACUUCUAAAGGAAACAAGCAGAACACUUCAGUACUGUCUUUCACCAAAUAAAUUUCCUCAGAUGUGGACAGAUGCAGAAGGAACAGAAACUUUGAUGGGAAUUUUGAAAUUUCAUAAUAUAUUCAAUACAACGAAGUAUUUUCAUAAGAAUUUUAAUUUUAAUGCUGUUCUUACUGUGAAGAAUACAUUUACCUGCUGCUGAUUUUUAAUUUUAUUGAUUACAAACAUCUAGCUCAAACUUUCUAUCCUUAUUGUCAUAUUGACUUCUCUAGAAACUUAAUAUGGAAAUAGUUUCUAAUAAGAAGGUGUAAAGACAACAUCUACUUUUCCAGGACAGUUUCUGUCUGUAAAAAAGAAUUCUAGUCCAAUGAACAAUUAUUUGCAUCACAGCUGACUGGUAACAGACCUCUUGGUGAAUUUAUGAGAUUAUUGAAAAGAAUUAAAAUAUUCAGCUGAUCAAAUAUUACAUUUUGCAUUUUAUAUGCAAAAGUACUUAGUAUAGAAUCAUAGAAUUAUACAAUCACAGUAUGGUUUGUGUCGGAAGGGAUCUUAGAGAUCACCUAGUUCCAACCCCCCUGCCAUGUGCAGAGACACCUUCUACUAGACCAGGUUGCUCAAAGCCCCAUACAGUCUGGCCUUGGACACUUUUAGGGAUGGGGCAUCCACAGCUUCUCUGGGCAACCUGUUUCAGUGCCUCAUGGUGAAAAAUUUCUUCCUUUUAUUUGACCUAAAUUAACUCUCUUUCAGUUUAAAGUCAUCAGCCUUAGUCCUAUCACUACACACCCUUACAAAAAGUCCCUCUCCAGCUUUCUUGUAAUUCCCUUCAGGUACUAGAAGGCUGCUAUAAGGUCUGCCUGGAGCCUUGUCUUCUUGCAAUCUCACAUUUUAUUGUCCAGUAUGGAAAAGUCAUAGUCUUAAAUUAAUCUCUGAAGUUUCUACUCUGCACUGUGUUUUCUUUUUCAAAAGAAAUGAUAGUCUUUUGCUAGGCAGUCACUGUGUUAACUAAAAUGAAUUGAACAAUUUCUCCCUAUUUAGGAGACUCGCCUAAUUGAAAUAAUGUUUUAGUAUAAAACCAAAUAUUCUCAUUAAAAUUCAUUGCCAAGUUGCUGAAAAUAUUUACAUAACAAAUCAAUGCAAUAAAUAAGAUUGAGGGAAUUCAGAUAUUGUAAUAAACACUUUUGGAACAGUAGAAGUAAACUCAUUUAAACUCAUUGAGUGAAUUACUUGAUAUGAAUUAUUUCCUUUACUACUGAAAAAAUGAGGCUCUAAAAUCUCAGGUUUAUGUAAUCAGUCACCUUUUGGUUUAUAUUUAUCAAUCAAAAAUACCUCCAGCUAGUAAUAACACAAGGAAGAAACUAAUCUUACAGUUUCUGGUGAGAUCACAACUUUUAAAAAUCUCAGCAAAAGAUGCUUCAGAGGAAUUAUACAGUGUUGCUACAAAAAGAAACUGCAAAGAGGCACAGGCAGAGCAUGCAAUCACUUAGAAAAACAGAUUUCCUAAAUUAAUCCAGAUUGUAACUGGCAUAAUGAAAACAUUGAUGUCAGAGACUGGAGUUUGCAAUAAUAAAGGGAUUUAGAGAGGAUUAAAGAGGAUAUACGAGAUUAUCAGACUAAUCACAACUGAUAUUGACACAAAUCAGAUAUUAGAAGCCAUAUUGUAUAACUUUUAGAUGUGUCUUCUUUGGAAAUACCGAGUCCUAAUCUCUCAAAAAAUAAACAGAAUAAUGUGUAUUCAUAAUAAAGACCAGUAUUUUAAAAGCCUAGCAAUUUCAAUAAUUAGUCCUUUGUGCAAUAUGUGAACAUAUGUACUGAAUGUCUCCAAAUAUUUAUGUUCAUUUUUCACACAUAGAAAUUAAUUUUCAAUACUUCCAUCGGAACAGUACUAUCACUCAAACUUUUUUAGCAGGUUAGAUACACUAGAGCUAAUUCUCCAUUAUUUUUUGAAGAUUAAACUUUUAAAAGAUAUCUUUUAUGUAACGUGCACAAAACAAUAGCAUAGGAACUGAACAUGCUAUAAAAUGAUACACUUUUCAGAAGUCAGCUUCCAUGGAGUGCUGACUUAACUCUCCACCUACUGUUUAGCAAUAAGUAACACUCUAUUAUGUAAUAAUUGCAAUUAUGUAAAAACUCUGACAAAUAAUCUCAAAAUGGAAAUAAACCCCCAAAAUUAAAGAAGAAAAAAGUCACCUUCCCUCUCUCACCAAAUAAGAGUCGAUUUUCAUGAUAUAUGUAAAUCAUUAAGUGGAAAGAAAAACUCUCCUCAUAAGAAUUCCAUCUGUGUGACUACUUCUUUGAAUAUUUCUGACAGUUUGCAUAUCCCAUUUUAAGAAAGGAUCUGUUUAAAGUAAACAAGAACACUAACUUGGAAAGAUGUAAUCACAGGAGCAUCAUUAAACAAAUGCAAUUUUGCCAUGUUAGGGCAUAGGGCAUAAAAUGCUUAGAAGUCAGAAGGUAUCUAUAUCUUAGGAAGAUUUUUUCUAACAAGCCAAAAUAAUUUGUAACACCACAAAUCUCUGACAAAGAAGAACAAAUUGCAUAGUGUUACAUUAACUACAAUGAAGUUGAAUACAAGGUGAAAUAUAUAAUUUAGUUUCCAAAAUCAAUGAUGAAUCUGGAGGAUCUGGUAGCUAAAUCUAAGCUAGUUACAAAAGAUUCUCAAAUCUCAGUCUUCAAGAAUUUUGGCAGAUCCUUUUGUAAUUAGGGUGCAACAUCAAUUCCUUGCAUAUAAGACUAGAAGCAGAUUAAUUUAAAGAUACGUUUGGAAAAGCUGAUGCCUUACACAAAGAUAGACCUUAAACUGGUGGCUAGCAAUCUUCUUUUCAGUUUUCUUAUUCAGAUAGAACAGUGCACACACCCAAACAACCCAGGUACUAUCAACAUUUGAAAGGACAGCAAAAUGAAAAAUGGUAUGAUCUUAGAACAAAUAAUUAAUUGAUAAAAAUGUUAAGAAAAUCUUAACAAUAACUAUAGCUCAGUGACAAAAUAGCUUAAGUUCUGGUCAAAUAAAGAUUCAGCUUGCUUAAAAGUGAUGUACAAAGAAAUUAUUCCUCAAUACUCUGCACUGUUUUUUUCCUCUACUCUGCAUUGAUGUGGCCUCACUUAGAGCACUGUGUACAGUUUUGGGCACCACAGUAUAAAAAGGAUAUAAAGCUACUGGAGAGUGUCCAGAGGAGGGCCAUGAAGUUGAUGAAGGGUUUAGAGGGGAAGCUGCAUGACGAGAAGCUAAAGUCACUUGGUUUGUUCAGCCUGGAGAAAUUAAUGAGUGAAUCCCUUGUGCUUUGCUUACAUGCGCAGCUUUUGCUUUACCUGUUAAACUGCUUUUAUCUCAACCCAUGAGUUUUCUCACUUGUACUCUCCUGAUUCUCUCCCCAUCCCACUGGUGGGGAGUGAAUGAGCACCUGUGGGAUGCUUAGUUGCUUGCUGGGGUUAAACCAUGACAACAACAAAUCUUUGCUCCAAUAAAAAUGCAGUAGAAAAUUGCAACGAAUUUGAAGAAAACCUGCCUCUAACAUUGAGAAAGCUAUGACUGUUUCUGAAACAGCAGUGUCACAGUAAGUACUGACUGUUGUAACCAAUGGGACAGCAUACGAAUGAAGCUGCCUGAAACAAGGUUGAAGAAUUGAGGUAUGACUGGUUUGUGCCUCAUCUUCUCCUCCAUCUUCAUUGAUUCGUUAUUUUCAGGAGGCUUCCUGUACCCUCUUUGGGAGGAAGGGAGCAUAGAAUAUUCCAAUACUAUUGCAAUAUGAACCUGGAAAAUUAUUUAAAAACUUAGAGGCAUAAUAAUGAAUGCUUUAUAAAUUACAGUUUACUGGAAAAAUAAAAUAACUAGAAAUGUUCAGGGUGAUUUUUCAAAAAGAGCUCAAGAAAAGGAUGAGAAUACUAUUAUGCUUGAAAACAAGAAUAGCUAGCCUGGGGAUGUUCCCAAAAAUCCAAUCAGCACUAGGAUAUAAAAGUAAGAACUAACAAAAUAAACAGAUUAAAAUUCUUCUGAUAAAAUUAUUUUUGGAGAAAAGGCAAGAAACUUAACUAAAAUGAUAGCAAUAUCAGAGAAAAUAUUGGGAAUGCUAACUUACUGAGAAAGAGACGAUUUGCUAAUAAAAAAGCUAAAAUAAGUUUUAAUAAUUUAUCCACAAAAAAAAGUGAAUAUGGGAAAGUGGUACAAAACAAAUUAAAUUCAUGUCAGUGUAAUAAAUUUUUCUGCUUCUAGUUAAUGACACUGAAAAUAAUUAAUGGUGUCCAAUCCACCGGUUUAUGUACCCCAGUGAAUUAGGAGUGGGAAAAUGAGAAAGUAUUUAACUAGAUAAUCAAAACUACAGAGAGUAAACAAUAGAGUAUAGAUAUAUUAUAUAUGGGAUAUGUUAUAUCGUAAACUAUAUCACCAAAUAAAAGAAAUUUGAUUAAUGUAGAAUUUUGUGUGUGUGUGAGAAGGAGAGGGAAGGGGACAGAGUGCAUGCACACACAGCCUGAACAUUUUUGUCCAAUACACCUGAAUAGAAUAUGCAGUAAAAUCUGAGUGUAUUAAAAAGAAGAAAAAAGAAUCAAUAAUAGUCUAGAAGAUAAAGGAACAAUUCUUGAUAAAUAUCAUGAGUUUAACAAAGAACUAAUCUUCAACAGACCUUUUUUUUAAUAUUUCGAUGCGAUUAUAGAAAAGCCUCCACUGGGCCUUAACUCCAUUGCUUGAAGUAGGAAAUCACGUCUGUCAGCAUUCUCUGAGCCCUGUCAUGCCAAACUUCAGUAGUUGCUUUGCUGUUUAACAUUUCCACACAAAGAGGUGACCUCAUCUAACAUCUCACCACUGCUUAAAGGUGAAGUUUCCCUUUUCUCCACUCCCUGCUGCUAGAUACAAACUCCCAACAUCUGAUUUUUACUGGUUGAGUUGAUUUGUCACAAUAAUAUGGCAUAAAAGUAAUGAAGUAGAAAAAAGAUUUUCUGCUGGGUUAGCAGGCCAAACCAGCUUAUGCUAGUGUCAAAUGACCAGGAGAGAUGGUACAAGAAGACAAGCUGCACAAUGAGGAGCAGGGGAGAAAAAACUGUGAAAUAGUGAAGAUUUCUUUUGGGCAGAAGCAAAGUGUCCUGUGAGCUCACCUGCUCAUUGAAUCAUACCUGCAGAAAGGAGGAUUUACUGCUGUUUUUGGAGGAAGUUGGUGGAAAUGUUUGCUGCAAUGUGCACCCAUGCUAAUGAGUGUAAGGAUGUCUCCUUUCACCCUGGAGUAAGACAACUACAAAGAAAUUCAAUCAAUGUAGCACUUUUGAGAGUUCGAUAAAUCAACCGAAUACUCCACUAAACCCUAUUCAACGCUGCAGAUUCCCUUAAUUCUAUCUGCUCUACUAAAUAUUAAAAGCUGGCUCAGUAAUUCUGAAAAAAUUUCAUUGAAGGGGAAUUAAAUCCAGCGGGCUCUGGAUGAAGUCUGCAGGGUACAUCAUUAACACUCAUAUAUAGUUGGAAAUUUUCCAAAAUAUUUAAUAUGCACUAAUUAAUCUAGAACAGUUAUUUCUUAGAAGCUCUUUCUCCUCAACUCCAUAUGGAAACACACCUAGGAGGAAAGUAUGCAUAUAAUUAUUCUAGAAUAAUUAUACUUUGGAAAAAUGUAAAAUGCACACAAUAAAAGGGUAAAUACUCCCUUUACAUAUGUCUUGCAGUAUA
Molecule: long non-coding RNA, 16319 nt
Organism: Columba livia (rock pigeon)
Lineage: Eukaryota; Metazoa; Chordata; Aves; Columbiformes; Columbidae
Exons: 4
Source: RefSeq, a predicted model, not a curated record